RNAcentral lists this long non-coding RNA (247 nucleotides) under Fukomys damarensis (Damara mole-rat). Its description in RNAcentral is "lncRNA (ENSFDAG00000030117.1)". The record is from RNAcentral. Lineage: Eukaryota; Metazoa; Chordata; Mammalia; Rodentia; Bathyergidae.
GUUUGAGAAUUUCUGAAGACAAAGUGGAUUUUGCAAUGAGAUUUACACGAACUUAACUCCCGAGUAGUUUCUUUUGUACUCCCUUCUGCACCGCCUUCUCUGUUCAUCCAGCCAGGCUGUCUUCACUGUUUCUGGAAGUCCCUGAAGAACCAGAGCUGAAGGUCCAGGCCUCCGGACUCCUGACCUCCGACCCCCCAGCCGAGGGAGACAGAUGUUUUCAACACAGCCAACUGCAUUAUAAAGGAAA